CCCCCUCUCUUUGUCUCUACAGUGAGUGAGGUGAUGAAUGUGUGUGUCUGUCUCAGUUCCUAUUAAUAGUAUGGAGCAAGGCUGGAAGUGUCAAAGCUAGAGAGAGUUGAAAUCUCUCACUCUCCCUCUCAUCCCUUCUCACACAAACACACACACACAGAGUCGAAGCAGACACUACUGGAGAGCCCAGAUGUAGCAGAGGUGCUGUAUAGGUGGGGGGUGGGGGAGCAGAAAGCAGAGGAAAAUAGGGGUAGAGGUCGAAGACAAAGCCAGCAGCAGAGCUUCAAACAGCACACUGACGGAUUUACUACCCAUACGAUAAAGCAAACAACCCACAGAGCGUCGCAGCACGGUGGAGUGAAAGACUGGACUUGCAAGCUGGCGACCGGCUGUCCCAGUGGAGGAAACAAAAGGUGUGGCGUCUACUUCAGAUUCAACACACCUCUUAAGAUCACAGUCUAUGCAAGUGAGGGUGAAGUGGCUGGGCUAAUCCAUAGCGGGGCUUCUUGUGGAGUUCAUGUUUGGUGCACUUUCACAUAUGUGUGAACAUGCAUUAUGUGUAGCUGUCACUUCGAAGCUAUUACGUAAGAGUAUCCUUCGUGCACGUACAUGUGUACCCUUGCUUCAUUCACAGAUUAAAUUAAUUCUGUGGGAAACGCUGCUUUUAGUGCAGGACCUUUCUGAUUAAACUAAACCGAAGAUGAGUUACAAAGUAUUUUUUAAAUCUCAACUGUCUCAAAACUCUCAAG
Molecule: long non-coding RNA, 749 nt
Organism: Platichthys flesus (European flounder)
Lineage: Eukaryota; Metazoa; Chordata; Actinopteri; Pleuronectiformes; Pleuronectidae
Exons: 3
Source: RefSeq, a predicted model, not a curated record